UACGGGGGGGGCAAGCGUUGUUCGGAAUUACUGGGCGUAAAGGGCUCGUAGGCGGCCCUCUCAGUCGGAUGUGAAAUCCCCAGGCUUAACCUGGGAACGGCAUCCGAUACUGGAGGGCUUGAAUUCGGGAGAGGGAUGCAGAAUUCCAGGUUUAGCGGUGAAAUGCGUAGAUAUCUGGAGGAAUACCGGUGGCGAAGGCGGCAUCCUGGACCGAGAUUGACGCUGAGGAGCGAAAGCUAGGGGAGCAAACGGG
Molecule: ribosomal RNA, 253 nt
Filed under: uncultured bacterium
Lineage: Bacteria
Description: partial 16S ribosomal RNA
Rfam family: Bacterial small subunit ribosomal RNA
Source: RNAcentral